GAUUUUAAGCUUCCUACGGGAGGCUGCAGUGGGGAAUUUUGGACAAUCUGGCGCAAGCCUGAUCCAGCAAUGCCGCGUGCAGGAAGAAGGCCUUCGGGUUGUAAACUGCUUUUGUACGGAGCGAAAAGGCUCUCUCUAAUACAGGGGGCUCAUGACGGUACCGUAAGAAUAAGCACCGGCUAACUACGUGCCAGCAGCCGCGGUAAUACGUAGGGUGCAAGCGUUAAUCGGAAUUACUGGGCGUAAAGCGUGCGCAGGCGGUUUUGUAAGACAGGCGUGAAAUCCCCGGGCUCAACCUGGGAAUGGCGCUUGUGACUGCAAAGCUGGAGUGCGGCAGAGGGGGAUGGAAUUCCGCGUGUAGCAGUGAAAUGCGUAGAUAUGCGGAGGAACACCGAUGGCGAAGGCAAUCCCCUGGGCCUGCACUGACGCUCAUGCACGAAAGCGUGGGGAGCAAACAGGAUUAGAUACCUUGUAGUCGAAUUCU
This 484-nucleotide ribosomal RNA is filed under the name uncultured bacterium. RNAcentral describes it as "bacterial SSU rRNA". It matches the Rfam family "Bacterial small subunit ribosomal RNA", at positions 326 to 802 of the family's 1533-position model. The record is from RNAcentral.